CUCUUCUUGAUUAUUUAAGAGAUAAGAGGUAGGCUCUGCUCAGUGAUAUUUUAAAUAGCCGCAGUAUUUUGACUGUGCUAAGGUAGCGUAAUAAUUUGCCUUAUAAUAGAGGGCUAGAAUAAAAGAGUUGACGGUACUUAUGCUUUUCAUUUACAGGAAAGCUUGAAUUUGAUAUCUUCAUAAAAAAGUGAAGUUUUUCUAAAGGGACGAUAAGACCCUAUAAAGCUUUACUAAAAGUUUUUUAAAACAAAGGAAAAAUAAGAGGAGGAUUAGUUAAGCUGGGGCGGUGUCUACAGUUCUGUAGAAAAGAUAACAAAAUGUUUGAGGGUAAGGAUCUUUUAGAGAUUUAGAACAAGCUACUUUAGGGAUAACAGCAUAAUUUUUUUUUAUAGUUCGAAUAGAUAGAAAAGACUUAUGACCUCGAUGUUGAAUUGAGAAGUUUUCUUAAAGUAGAAAUUAAGAGGGGAGGUCUGUUCGACCUGUAGGUUCUC
RNAcentral lists this ribosomal RNA (491 nucleotides) under Betamorpha sp. 01 SB-2021a. Its description in RNAcentral is "partial 16S ribosomal RNA". It matches the Rfam family "Bacterial large subunit ribosomal RNA", at positions 1820 to 2597 of the family's 2925-position model. Lineage: Eukaryota; Metazoa; Arthropoda; Malacostraca; Isopoda; Munnopsidae. RNAcentral also lists the same sequence under 1 other name. The record is from RNAcentral.